GGCUUAAGAAUGGGCAACGGAAUCCCAAAAGCAGCUGUUUUGCUCUGUUUCCCAGCUGCACUUGGAUUCCGUUCCUUGCUCUUUUGCCC
Ophiophagus hannah (king cobra) is the source of this 89-nucleotide microRNA precursor. It matches the Rfam family "mir-191 microRNA precursor family". The record is from Rfam. Lineage: Eukaryota; Metazoa; Chordata; Lepidosauria; Squamata; Elapidae.